UCCCGGCGAUUACAGCCCCAUUCCAGAGGAUUCUCAGGCUGAAGAGAUGACAGUAGAGGAGGCUGAAACGACACAAGAGCUACAGUUCAGCAGUUUUACAGCAAAGGACUUUCGCCGGAUUAAGGUUUUAGGCAGAGGAAGCUUCGGCAAGGUUCUACUAGUAGAGUAUCUUCCACAAACAUCUAUUGCGCUAUUAAAGUGCUCAAGAAGGACA
Molecule: long non-coding RNA, 214 nt
Organism: Xenopus laevis (African clawed frog)
Lineage: Eukaryota; Metazoa; Chordata; Amphibia; Anura; Pipidae
Exons: 3
Source: RefSeq, a predicted model, not a curated record